GAGUUUGAUCGUGGCUCAGAUUGAACGCUGGCGGCAUGCCUUACACAUGCAAGUCGAACGGCAGCACGGGAGCUUGCUCCUGGUGGGCGAGUGGCGAACGGGUGAGUAAUGCAUCGGAACGUAUCCUGGAGUGGGGGAUAACGUAGCGAAAGUUACGCUAAUACCGCAUAUUCUGUGAGCAGGAAAGCGGGGGACCUUCGGGCCUCGCGCUCUUGGAGCGGCCGAUGUCGGAUUAGCUAGUUGGUGA
This 247-nucleotide ribosomal RNA is filed under the name bacterium enrichment culture clone ALO1_GLFRUDD03FLV33. RNAcentral describes it as "partial 16S ribosomal RNA". It matches the Rfam family "Bacterial small subunit ribosomal RNA", at positions 9 to 255 of the family's 1533-position model. The record is from RNAcentral.